GAUGAACGCUAGCGGCGUGCCUAAUACAUGCAAGUAGAACGCUGAAGGAGGAGCUUGCUCUUCUGGAUGAGUUGCGAACGGGUGAGUAACGCGUAGGUAACCUGCCUGGUAGCGGGGGAUAACUAUUGGAAACGAUAGCUAAUAACGCAUGACAACAGUUAUUGCAUGAUAACUGUUUAAAAGGGGCAACUGCUCCACUACCAGAUGGACCUGCGUUGUAUUAGCUAGUUGGUGAGGUAACGGCUCACCAAGGCGAAGAUACAUAGCCGACCUGAGAGGGGGAUCGGCCACACUGGGACUGAGACACGGCCCAGACUCCUACGGGAGGCAGCAGUAGGGCAUCUUCGGCAAUGGACGGAAGUCUGACCGAGCAACGCCGCGUGAGUGAAGAAGGUUUUCGGAUCGUAAAGCUCUGUUGUAAGAGAAGAACGAGUGUGAGAGUGGAAAGUUCACACUGUGACGGUAUCUUACCAGAAAGGGACGGCUAACUACGUG
Molecule: ribosomal RNA, 495 nt
Filed under: uncultured bacterium
Lineage: Bacteria
Description: partial 16S ribosomal RNA
Rfam family: Bacterial small subunit ribosomal RNA
Source: RNAcentral